Molecule: ribosomal RNA, 877 nt
Filed under: Leuconostoc mesenteroides
Lineage: Bacteria; Bacillati; Bacillota; Bacilli; Lactobacillales; Lactobacillaceae
Description: bacterial SSU rRNA
Rfam family: Bacterial small subunit ribosomal RNA
Source: RNAcentral
GGCGUAAAGCGAGCGCAGACGGUUGAUUAAGUCUGAUGUGAAAGCCCGGAGCUCAACUCCCGGAAUGGCAUUGGAAACUGGUUAACUUGAGUGCAGUAGAGGUAAGUGGAACUCCAUGUGUAGCGGUGGAAUGCGUAGAUAUAUGGAAGAACACCAGUGGCGAAGGCGGCUUACUGGACUGUAACUGACGUUGAGGCUCGAAAGUGUGGGUAGCAAACAGGAUUAGAUACCCUGGUAGUCCACACCGUAAACGAUGAACACUAGGUGUUAGGAGGUUUCCGCCUCUUAGUGCCGAAGCUAACGCAUUAAGUGUUCCGCCUGGGGAGUACGACCGCAAGGUUGAAACUCAAAGGAAUUGACGGGGACCCGCACAAGCGGUGGAGCAUGUGGUUUAAUUCGAAGCAACGCGAAGAACCUUACCAGGUCUUGACAUCCUUUGAAGCUUUUAGAGAUAGAAGUGUUCUCUUCGGAGACAAAGUGACAGGUGGUGCAUGGUCGUCGUCAGCUCGUGUCGUGAGAUGUUGGGUUAAGUCCCGCAACGAGCGCAACCCUUAUUGUUAGUUGCCAGCAUUCAGAUGGGCACUCUAGCGAGACUGCCGGUGACAAACCGGAGGAAGGCGGGGACGACGUCAGAUCAUCAUGCCCCUUAUGACCUGGGCUACACACGUGCUACAAUGGCGUAUACAACGAGUUGCCAACCCGCGAGGGUGAGCUAAUCUCUUAAAGUACGUCUCAGUUCGGAUUGUAGUCUGCAACUCGACUACAUGAAGUCGGAAUCGCUAGUAAUCGCGGAUCAGCACGCCGCGGUGAAUACGUUCCCGGGUCUUGUACACACCGCCCGUCACACCAUGGGAGUUUGUAAUGCCCAAAGCCGGUG